AAUGGUCAAGUUGAGGGAAAUAAUUGGGAGAAGUCAAAUGAGUCUCGGGAAUCAGCACACCGCAUUAACAUGCAAAGAACUGGGCUAACGGGAAGGUCGAAACUUUUCCAUAUUACCUGACAAACUGAUUAUUAACACAUUGCGAAAUGAUAAUUGUUAUCCGAGACAUUCAAAGAAUGUGAACAAGAAGUAGAAGCACGCUAAAUAUCAUCGUUAUUUUCCGUCCAACGCGUUUCCCUACGUCUAUCUUCAUUCUCGAGUAAACAUUGCAUCUUGGUAGCCUUCCACGAGCCUUUUGCAGAUCCUUUUCUCGAGAUGCCGUCAUGGCACCUACUAGAUCAUAAUGGGCACGGAAUAUUCACGGUCACAAUCAACUACAACCUUCC
This is a long non-coding RNA of Eufriesea mexicana, 386 nucleotides long. RefSeq lists it as uncharacterized. The transcript is spliced from 3 exons. NCBI's taxonomy places the organism in Eukaryota, Metazoa, Arthropoda, Insecta, Hymenoptera, Apidae. The record is from RefSeq and is a predicted model, not a curated record.